CAAAUACUCCCUCCGUCUCAAAUUUUUUAUCUUAAAUUUGUCUAAAUACGGAUGUAUCUAGUUACGUUUUAGUGUUAGAUACAUCUUUAUCUAGACAAAUGUAAGACACGAAUUUUGCACUGGAGGGAGUACCAA
Molecule: non-coding RNA, 135 nt
Organism: Triticum aestivum (bread wheat)
Lineage: Eukaryota; Viridiplantae; Streptophyta; Magnoliopsida; Poales; Poaceae
Source: Rfam